Long non-coding RNA from Hibiscus syriacus, 150 nucleotides. RefSeq lists it as uncharacterized. Lineage: Eukaryota; Viridiplantae; Streptophyta; Magnoliopsida; Malvales; Malvaceae. The record is from RefSeq and is a predicted model, not a curated record. The transcript has 3 exons.
CCAAAGGCAAGUUCUUCCUGGUCAACUGCAGGCUGAGUGUUGUAACGAAUCCAUAGGCAAUCAGUCCCAGUAGUGGAAGAGGCACACCUGAUAAAUUCAAAAGCACAAAUCAUCUUAUCCUCUGAAAACAUCUUGAGGUUUUCACUAUUU